AGUGAACGCUGGCGGUAGGCCUAACACAUGCAAGUCGAACGGCAGCACAGUAAGAGCUUGCUCUUCGGGUGGCGAGUGGCGGACGGGUGAGGAAUACAUCGGAAUCUACUUUUUCGUGGGGGAUAACGUAGGGAAACUUACGCUAAUACCGCAUACGACCUACGGGUGAAAGCAGGGGAUCUUCGGACCUUGCGCGAUUGAAUGAGCCGAUGUCGGAUUAGCUAGUUGGCGGGGUAAAGGCCCACCAAGGCGACGAUCCGUAGCUGGUCUGAGAGGAUGAUCAGCCACACUGGAACUGAGACACGGUCCAGACUCCUACGGGAGGCAGCAGUGGGGAAUAUUGGACAAUGGGCGCAAGCCUGAUCCAGCCAUACCGCGUGGGUGAAGAAGGCCUUCGGGUUGUAGAGCCCUUUUGUUGGGAAAGAAAAGCAGCAGGUUAAUACCCCGCUGUUCUGACGGUACCCAAAGAAUAAGCACCGGCUAACUUCGUG
RNAcentral lists this ribosomal RNA (491 nucleotides) under uncultured bacterium. Its description in RNAcentral is "partial 16S ribosomal RNA". It matches the Rfam family "Bacterial small subunit ribosomal RNA", at positions 29 to 507 of the family's 1533-position model. The record is from RNAcentral.